GGCAGUUCUCAGGUGACAUACUCCGGAAUAGGGCUCCCUUCUCUGCGGUUCCAGGUGUGUCACCCAAGAACCACA
Myotis davidii is the source of this 75-nucleotide non-coding RNA. Lineage: Eukaryota; Metazoa; Chordata; Mammalia; Chiroptera; Vespertilionidae. The record is from Rfam.